GCACAAGCAGCGGAGCGUGUGGUUUAAUUCGUUGCUACACGAAGAACCUUACCUGGGUUUGACAUAUAAGUUGUAGGGAACUGAAAAGGGACCGACCUUCGGGGAGCUUAUACAGGUGUUGCAUGGCUGUCGUCAGCUCGUGUCGUGAGAUGUUCGGUUAAGUCCGCUAACGAGCGCAACCCUCGCCGUAUGUUACAAGUGUCAUACGGGACUGCCGGUAAAAAGCCGGAGGAAGGUGAGGAUGAUGUCAAGUCAGCAUGACCUUUAUAUCCAGGGCUACACACACGCUACAAUGGUCUGUACAAUUGGUUGCCAAGCCGCGAGGCGGAGCCAAUCCGUAAAGCAGGCCUCAGUUCAGAUUGCAGUCUGCAACUCGACUGCAUGAAGCCGGAGUUGCUAGUAACCGCAGGUCAGCAAUACUGCGGUGAAUACGUUCCCGGGUCUU
This 445-nucleotide ribosomal RNA is filed under the name uncultured Anaerolineaceae bacterium. RNAcentral describes it as "bacterial SSU rRNA". It matches the Rfam family "Bacterial small subunit ribosomal RNA", at positions 923 to 1382 of the family's 1533-position model. Lineage: Bacteria; Bacillati; Chloroflexota; Anaerolineae; Anaerolineales; Anaerolineaceae. The record is from RNAcentral.